Molecule: ribosomal RNA, 800 nt
Filed under: uncultured bacterium
Lineage: Bacteria
Description: bacterial SSU rRNA
Rfam family: Bacterial small subunit ribosomal RNA
Source: RNAcentral
AGAGUUUGAUCCUGGCUCAGAUUGAACGCUGGCGGAAUGCUUUACACAUGCAAGUCGAACGGCAGCACGGACUUCGGUCUGGUGGCGAGUGGCGAACGGGUGAGUAACAUAUCGGAACGUAUCCAAUAAUGGGGGAUAACUAAUCGAAAGGUUGGCUAAUACCGCAUACGCCCUACGGGGGAAAGCUAGGGACCUUCGGGCCUGGCGUUAAUGGAGCGGCCGAUAUCUGAUUAGCUAGUUGGUGGGGUAAAGGCCCACCAAGGCGACGAUCAGUAGCUGGUCUGAGAGGGCGACCAGCCACACUGGAACUGAGACACGGUCCAGACUCCUACGGGAGGCAGCAGUGGGGAAUUUUGGACAAUGGGCGCAAGCCUGAUCCAGCCAUUCCGCGUGAGUGAAGAAGGCCUUCGGGUUGUAAAGCUCUUUCGCAAGGGAAGAAAACUUAUCCUCUAACAUAGGAUGAGGUUGACGGUACCUUGAUAAGAAGCACCGGCUAACUACGUGCCAGCAGCCGCGGUAAUACGUAGGGUGCGAGCGUUAAUCGGAAUUACUGGGCGUAAAGCGUGCGCAGGCGGUUUUGUAAGUCAGAUGUGAAAUCCCCGAGCUCAACUUGGGAACUGCGUUUGAAACUACAAGACUAGAAUAUGUCAGAGGGGGGUAGAAUUCCACGUGUAGCAGUGAAAUGCGUAGAGAUGUGGAGGAAUACCAAUGGCGAAGGCAGCCCCCUGGGAUAAUAUUGACGCUCAUGCACGAAAGCGUGGGGAGCAAACAGGAUUAGAUACCCUGGUAGUCCACGCCCU